This 468-nucleotide ribosomal RNA is filed under the name uncultured bacterium. RNAcentral's name for it is "partial 16S ribosomal RNA". It matches the Rfam family "Bacterial small subunit ribosomal RNA", at positions 28 to 507 of the family's 1533-position model. The record is from RNAcentral.
GACGAACGCUGGCGGCGUGCUUAACACAUGCAAGUCGAACGGAAAGGCCCUGCUUUUGUGGGGUGCUCGAGUGGCGAACGGGUGAGUAACACGUGAGUAACCUGCCCUUGACUUUGGGAUAACUUCAGGAAACUGGGGCUAAUACCGGAUAGAAGCUCCUGCUGCAUGGUGGGGGUUGGAAAGUUUCGGCGGUUGGGGAUGGACUCGCGGCUUAUCAGCUUGUUGGUGGGGUAGUGGCUUACCAAGGCUUUGACGGGUAGGCGGCCUGAGAGGGUGACCGGCCACAUUGGGACUGAGAUACGGCCCAGACUCCUACGGGAGGCAGCAGUGGGGAAUAUUGCACAAUGGGCGGAAGCCUGAUGCAGCAACGCCGCGUGCGGGAUGACGGCCUUCGGGUUGUAAACCGCUUUCGCCUGUGACGAAGCGUGAGUGACGGUAAUGGGUAAAGAAGCACCGGCUAACUACGUG